This 254-nucleotide ribosomal RNA is filed under the name uncultured bacterium. RNAcentral's name for it is "partial 16S ribosomal RNA". It matches the Rfam family "Bacterial small subunit ribosomal RNA", at positions 524 to 776 of the family's 1533-position model. The record is from RNAcentral.
CACGUAGGCACCAAGAGUUGUCCGGAUUUAUUGGGCGUAAAGAGCUCGUAGGCGGUUCGGUAAGUCGGGUGUGAAAACUUUGGGCUCAACCCAAAGCGUGCACUCGAUACUGCCAUGACUAGAGUUCGGUAGGGGAGUGGGGAAUUCCUAGUGUAGCGGUGAAAUGCGCAGAUAUUAGGAGGAACACCGGUGGCGAAGGCGCCACUCUGGGCCGAAACUGACGCUGAGGAGCGAAAGCGUGGGUAGCAAACAGG